UGCCCAGCAACUCCUAUCCCUACCUCGUCGCGGUACUGGCCGGGUUACGAGUAACCUUAGGGAAGAUCGGGUAACCAACUCCGGUGGGAACUCUGUUCGUAUGCUGAGGGGGACGAGG
Molecule: non-coding RNA, 118 nt
Organism: Aedes aegypti (yellow fever mosquito)
Lineage: Eukaryota; Metazoa; Arthropoda; Insecta; Diptera; Culicidae
Source: Rfam